UAAUGGUGUAUGGCAUAAAGCACCAUCGCAGAAGGAAGUUCGUCCCCCUUGGCCCAGCAUGAUGGAGCAGGAGAGGCUGGACCAUCCUGACAUGCAGCCUUAUAUAUAUAUGCCAUAUAUAUGCCAGCGUGCUCAGACUUCAGCAUCAUGUGUAUCACCUGUGGAGCCUGUUCAAAGGCAGAGUCGGAUUCCCCAGUUGCCGUCACCCAUGGAGACCAGAGUCCAGUUUCUUUAGACUUCCAGUGCAGACUCAUACGAGCAACUCUCUAGUGAACCUCUAACCCUGAGAUCUCAGACUGGCACUGCAUCCUUGAUCCCUCUUGUUCUGCAGCUUCCAGCUUUUUGGAUUGAGCAGCUACUGGGUCCUCUGGCUCUCUAGCACUGCAACAGCUGUUGUGGAUGCUCCACCUCUCAUCCUCUGGGAGGGAUCCCAGAGAACCAGGGAGAGACCAGAUGGGGCCCAGCAGACAGUAGACCAUGGGGAGAGAAUAUUUGUGAAGCUCCAGCUGCCUGACCUACUCGGAACUCUCAGAAGCAGGUCAUCCAUCCAUGAUGGGACAAGUAUACUGCAGUGUGCCUGCCUGCUGUAUUUCAGUUAAUCUACACAUCAAUCCUGUCCAAGCAGAUACUGUUAUUUCCAUUGAGUGACGAGACUCAAGCUUACAGAUGUUCAAAUUUCAUGGAACAACAUGAUUUCCGAAACAUCAGAAAGGACAUCCAUAUACAGUUGUCAACAUUCAUUUUCCUAAGUACGGUGAGUAGGAAAUUCUCCCUUCUACAUCAUCAUAAUUUCAUAACAGAAAGGACAUUGUAACAAUUAAAAUG
This is a non-coding RNA of Heterocephalus glaber (naked mole-rat), 825 nucleotides long. Lineage: Eukaryota; Metazoa; Chordata; Mammalia; Rodentia; Bathyergidae. The record is from RefSeq and is a predicted model, not a curated record.